This is a long non-coding RNA of Stomoxys calcitrans (stable fly), 209 nucleotides long. RefSeq lists it as uncharacterized. The record is from RefSeq and is a predicted model, not a curated record. The transcript is spliced from 3 exons. NCBI's taxonomy places the organism in Eukaryota, Metazoa, Arthropoda, Insecta, Diptera, Muscidae.
GUUAUUUCGUCACGUUAAAAACACAACUAACUGAUUAAAAUAUAUAGAACCACCGACCACUAGAAGCUAGUAGAUAUGUAAUCAUUGCCUUCGCAGCCUUUCAAUUCAAAGCAAUUUCAAAGCAGCGAACAAAAGUAAUCCAUAAAUAAUCGAAUUUUGUGUCAAAAUGUUUUACGAGAAUUGAAUGAGACAGAGAGAGAGAGAGAGAG